RNAcentral lists this ribosomal RNA (442 nucleotides) under Distostylus irwini. Its description in RNAcentral is "partial 16S ribosomal RNA". It matches the Rfam family "Bacterial large subunit ribosomal RNA", at positions 1925 to 2577 of the family's 2925-position model. The record is from RNAcentral. Lineage: Eukaryota; Metazoa; Arthropoda; Insecta; Diptera; Therevidae.
AAAUGGCCGCAGUAUUUUAACUGUGCAAAGGUAGCAUAAUCAUUAGUCUUUUAAUUGAAGGCUUGUAUGAAUGGUUGGACGAAAUAUUAACUGUUUCAUAAAAAUUUUUAUAGAAUUUUAUUUUUUAGUCAAAAAGCUAAAAUAUUUUUAAAAGACGAGAAGACCCUAUAGAUCUUUAUAUUUUAUAUAUUAUGAUUAUUUAGAUUACUUAAAUCAUUAUUAUAUUGAAUAUUUUGUUGGGGUGACAUUAAAAUUUAAUUAACUUUUAAUUAAUGAAUACAUUAAUUUAUGAAUAUUUGAUCCAUUAAUAAUGAUUAAAAAAUUAAGUUACCUUAGGGAUAACAGCGUAAUUUUUUUAGAGAGUUCAUAUCGAUAAAAAAGAUUGCGACCUCGAUGUUGGAUUAAGAUAUAAUUUUGGGUGCAGCAAUUCAAUAAUUAAGUC